Molecule: ribosomal RNA, 1442 nt
Filed under: uncultured organism
Description: SSU rRNA
Rfam family: Bacterial small subunit ribosomal RNA
Source: RNAcentral
GCUACAGGCUUAACACAUGCAAGUCGAGGGGCAGCAUUUUAGUUUGCUUGCAAACUGAAGAUGGCGACCGGCGCACGGGUGAGUAACACGUAUCCAACCUGCCGAUAACUCCGGGAUAGCCUUUCGAAAGAAAGAUUAAUACCGGAUAGUAUACGAAUAUCGCAUGAUAUUUUUAUUAAAGAAUUUCGGUUAUCGAUGGGGAUGCGUUCCAUUAGUUUGUUGGCGGGGUAACGGCCCACCAAGACUACGAUGGAUAGGGGUUCUGAGAGGAAGGUCCCCCACAUUGGAACUGAGACACGGUCCAAACUCCUACGGGAGGCAGCAGUGAGGAAUAUUGGUCAAUGGGCGCGAGCCUGAACCAGCCAAGUAGCGUGAAGGAUGAAGGCUCUAUGGGUCGUAAACUUCUUUUAUAUGGGAAUAAAGUUUUCCACGUGUGGAAUUUUGUAUGUACCAUAUGAAUAAGGAUCGGCUAACUCCGUGCCAGCAGCCGCGGUAAUACGGAGGAUCCGAGCGUUAUCCGGAUUUAUUGGGUUUAAAGGGAGCGUAGGUGGAUUGUUAAGUCAGUUGUGAAAGUUUGCGGCUCAACCGUAAAAUUGCAGUUGAAACUGGCAGUCUUGAGUACAGUAGAGGUGGGCGGAAUUCGUGGUGUAGCGGUGAAAUGCUUAGAUAUCACGAAGAACUCCGAUUGCGAAGGCAGCUCACUAGACUGUCACUGACACUGGUGCUCGAAAGUGUGGGUAUCAAACAGGAUUAGAUACCCUGGUAGUCCACACAGUAAACGAUGAAUACUCGCUGUUUGCGAUAUACAGUAAGCGGCCAAGCGAAAGCAUUAAGUAUUCCACCUGGGGAGUACGCCGGCAACGGUGAAACUCAAAGGAAUUGACGGGGGCCCGCACAAGCGGAGGAACAUGUGGUUUAAUUCGAUGAUACGCGAGGAACCUUACCCGGGCUUAAAUUGCAACAGAAUAUAUUGGAAACAGUAUAGCCGUAAGGCUGUUGUGAAGGUGCUGCAUGGUUGUCGUCAGCUCGUGCCGUGAGGUGUCGGCUUAAGUGCCAUAACGAGCGCAACCCUUAUCUUUAGUUACUAACAGGUUAUGCUGAGGACUCUAGAGAGACUGCCGUCGUAAGAUGUGAGGAAGGUGGGGAUGACGUCAAAUCAGCACGGCCCUUACGUCCGGGGCUACACACGUGUUACAAUGGGGGGUACAGAAGGCGGCUACCUGGUGACAGGAUGCUAAUCCCAAAAACCUCUCUCAGUUCGGAUCGAAGUCUGCAACCCGACUUCGUGAAGCUGGAUUCGCUAGUAAUCGCGCAUCAGCCAUGGCGCGGUGAAUACGUUCCCGGGCCUUGUACACACCGCCCGUCAAGCCAUGAAAGCCGGGGGUACCUGAAGUACGUAACCGCAAGGAGCGUCCUAGGGUAAAACUGGUAAUUGGGGCUAA